This 1729-nucleotide long non-coding RNA is filed under the name Callithrix jacchus (white-tufted-ear marmoset). RNAcentral describes it as "lncRNA (ENSCJAG00000078081.1)". Lineage: Eukaryota; Metazoa; Chordata; Mammalia; Primates; Cebidae. The record is from RNAcentral.
GUCUGAUCUUUGAGAAUUAAUGUUUGUCUUGGGAGAUGUGCGAACCUGGGCCCACAGCUGUGGGAAAGCCAAUUAAGGGAUCCAACGUAGAGAAGACCCAGGCCCAAUCCUGGCCAUGCCUGCUUCCCGCCCCUUCCCAGAACACACUCUUGAGCACAGCUUUUUGUUUCCUUCUAUACAAUACAAUUUCGACUUUAUUUCUCCAGUCUUUCAGGACGGAAUGGCACAUACAUCCUCGUUGUCAGAGAGCAUCCACACUGCACCCUCAACGAGCAACUUAGCAUCCAGGGCAAGAGGAGAAGCACCUUCCCCUAAGCACAUUUUCCAGUGGUGACACAGUAUUGUAAAGAAACUAUGCUGACCUGGGAGCUGUGGAGUUGAUGCUGAAAGAGCGCCGGCAGCAGCAGCGGGGAAGAAAGCUACAUGGAGAGGUCAGUGCUUCUCAAACUUGGCUGCACAGUGGAAUCACCUGACAGAGGUUUAAACUUCCCCAAGCUCAGGACUCACUCCUUAAGCUCAAUCUUUUCAAUGAGGUGCAGGAGCCGGCUCAUUCUGGCUGCAAUUCUCUCUCCAAUUCUGUAUUCAGUGGCAUCCUGGUGGUAGCUUAAGAUUGGCCACAACGUGAUAUUUGUAUUACAGCAAUUGACAAAUAAGACAAAUCACAAAUCAGCCCCCACUGCCACUUCCUCCCCUCAGAGCUGGGUCAACAGCACAUGGCUCAGACACUCUCCGGAGGUUUCCAAAGGGCAGCCAACUUUGAGAGCUCCGGGUCGAGGUCAGCUCCCCUUUUGGCCUGUGGCGUCCCACCAAAUAGUAUCUUGCUUGGGUGCUUCCUUUUCCCCAGUCCCGCCUUGGGGUUAGCAUCAUUGCAUGGGGUAACUGGGCUUGCCUCCAGGGAGCCCGAGUGCAAUACAGAAGAGAGAGUGGAACUGUGGCUUCAUUUGUAGCUGUUACUGCAUUUCUCUGAAUACAACUCGAUUUUCUUUUAGAGCUAGCCAAAUCUCUUUCAGUAUACCUUUAGGGUUGGAUCUAUGGAGGCAUGCUAUUUCGUUGAAGGAGGCGGGAGAAACUUUGAAUAAUGUUGUGCAAUUAGGAACCCUAAUUACCCACUCUUGAGAUUGCAAUUUCUCAUUCAGAGGCAUCAUUUUCUAUGGUGUAAUUUGCUAGGUCUGACUCCCCUGGCUGGAUCUGAUUUGAGUAAAGUGGGCACCGCCCCAUCUGAAGGCAGUCUCACGAUGGCUACCACACAUCAAACUGACUUUCCUGCCUCACAAAAUCACACUACACAACGCCCAGCUUCAUUCCUCUCUCAGAGGCCCGAUUAGUCAUCUUUUGCUUGGUGAAGCAGCCUGUAGCAUUAACUCAAAGCAAGCUACCGCCGCCACCACGUGCUGUGCAAAUCUGACUGGACAAACUUUGACUCAGCGAUGCCCCUGGGACACCUAGAAAUCCCAGGGACAGAGAGGACCCUUGAAAAGCCAGGAACUGCUCAUUUUAAAAGUGGUGCUGGGCCCUGAAGAACACUCAAGAAUAGAGGGCAACUUUGGUCUCUGCCACGAGGGGGCAGAAGGAAGCUGGAAGGGGUGUCCUUACCCACAUUGGAAGUGGGAGUCCAAUUGGGAUUUAUUCCAGGGAGAGGACCAGGGCAAAUAAAUGGUCACAGUUAGGUGUACAUACCAUGGGGCUCCUUGGGAAGAUGGGCUGCCGAGGGCAGCUGCUUUCAAAUGCU